This 408-nucleotide ribosomal RNA is filed under the name Fusobacteriota bacterium. Its description in RNAcentral is "Fusobacteria bacterium partial 16S ribosomal RNA". It matches the Rfam family "Bacterial small subunit ribosomal RNA", at positions 355 to 776 of the family's 1533-position model. Lineage: Bacteria; Fusobacteriati; Fusobacteriota. The record is from RNAcentral.
UGGGGAAUAUUGCACAAUGGAGGGAACUCUGAUGCAGCAACGCCGCGUGCGGGAUGACGGCCUUCGGGUUGUAAACCGCUUUCAGCCAUGACGAAGCUUUUGUGACGGUAGUGGUAGAAGAAGCACCGGCUAACUACGUGCCAGCAGCCGCGGUGAUACGUAGGGUGCGAGCGUUGUCCGGAAUUAUUGGGCGUAAAGCGCGCGCAGGCGGCUUCCUAAGUCCAUCUUAAAAGUGCGGGGCUUAACCCCGUGAUGGGAUGGAAACUGGGAAGCUGGAGUAUCGGAGAGGAAAGUGGAAUUCCUAGUGUAGCGGUGAAAUGCGUAGAGAUUAGGAAGAACACCGGUGGCGAAGGCGACUUUCUGGACGAAAACUGACGCUGAGGCGCGAAAGCGUGGGGAGCAAACAGG